CCUACGGGUGGCAGCAGUAGGGAAUAUUGCUCAAUGGGGGAAACCCUGAAGCAGCAACGCCGCGUGGAGGAUGAAGGUUCUCGGAUUGUAAACUUCUUUUGUUAGAGAAGAUAAUGACGGUACCUAACGAAUAAGCACCGGCUAACUACGUGCCAGCAGCCGCGGUAAUACGGAGGGUGCAAGCGUUACCCGGAAUUACUGGGCGUAAAGAGCGCGUAGGCGGGAUAGCAAGUCAGAUGUGAAAUCCUAUGGCUUAACCAUAGAACUGCAUUUGAAACUGUUAUUCUAGAGUAGGGGAGAGGUAGGUGGAAUUCUUGGUGUAGGGGUGAAAUGCGUAGAGAUCAAGAGGAAAACUCAUGGCGAAGGCGACCUGCUAGAACGUAACUGACGCUGAUGCGCGAAAGCGUGGGGAGCAAACAGGAGUAGAUACCCGUGUAGUC
Molecule: ribosomal RNA, 440 nt
Filed under: uncultured bacterium
Lineage: Bacteria
Description: partial 16S ribosomal RNA
Rfam family: Bacterial small subunit ribosomal RNA
Source: RNAcentral